UACCUGCCACAAUUGAGCCCCUUUAACUUCUGAUUUUGUGCUUUUAGCUUCUAGGAGCAUGUGUAUCAAACUGUGGCAAAAUUUUUCAUUUAGAAGUAUGUUCAAGAGAUUUUGCUAGUGAAGUAAGCAACGUAUUAAAUAAGGGUCAUCCUAAAGUAUGUGAAAAAUUAAAGGCUCUUAUGGUUGAAUGGACAGAUGAAUUUAAGAAUGAUCCACAGCUUAGUCUAAUAUCAGCAAUGAUUAAGAACCUUAAGGAACAAGGAGUUACGUUCCC
This 274-nucleotide small RNA is filed under the name Pan troglodytes (chimpanzee). RNAcentral's name for it is "retained intron". The record is from RNAcentral. Lineage: Eukaryota; Metazoa; Chordata; Mammalia; Primates; Hominidae.